GGGCUUAUGAUGAUAUAAUACAAAAUAUCUUAGCGGAUUUCAGUGAGAUAAUUAUCAAUGAUCUGAUUGUUACACACCCUGAAGCCC
Molecule: small nucleolar RNA, 87 nt
Organism: Ipomoea triloba (trilobed morning glory)
Lineage: Eukaryota; Viridiplantae; Streptophyta; Magnoliopsida; Solanales; Convolvulaceae
Product: small nucleolar RNA R11/Z151
Exons: 1
Source: RefSeq, a predicted model, not a curated record